UGAGGUUGGCCCGCAACAUCGGGACUGAGACACUGCCCGGACCUCCACGGAGGGCUGCAGUAACGAAUAUUGGGCAAUGAGCGCAAGCUUGACCCAGCGACGCCGCGUGUAGGAGGGAGUCUUUCGGGAUGUAAACUACUGUCAGGGGGACGAAAGUGUGCUUCGGCACAUUGAUCGAACCCAGAGGAAGUCACGGCUAACUUCGUGCCAGCAGCCGCGGUAAGACGAAGGUGGCAAGCGUUGUUCGGUAUCACUGGGCUUAAAGCGUGUGUAGGCGGAAGCUUAAGCGUUUUGUGAAAUCCCUCGGCUUAACCGAGGAAUUGCUUGACGAACUGGGCUUCUUGAGGCAGGUAGGGGUGCGCAGAACUCUUGGUGGAGCGGUGGAAUGCGUAGAUAUCAAGAGGAAUGCCGGUGGAGAAGUCGGUGCACUGGGCCUGACCUGACGCUGAGACACGAAAGCGUGGGGAGCGAACGGGAUUAGAUACCCCGGUAGUCCACGCCGUAAACGAUGCCUACUAGGUUGUGGUGGUUCUGACGCCAGCACAGCCGAAGCCAAAGUGUUAAGUAGGCCGCCUGUGGAGUACGGUCGCAAGGCUAAAACUCAAAGGAAUUGACGGGGGCUCACACAAGCGGUGGAGCAUGUGGAUUAAUUCGAAGCAACGCGCAGAACCUUACCAGGGUUUGACAUGCUUGGAUGCCGCCGGGGAAACUCGGUUUGGCUGCCUUCGGGUGAGACUUGCACAGGUGCUGCAUGGCUGUCGUCAGCUCGUGUCGUGAGAUGUCGGGUUAAGUCCCUUAACGAGCGAAACCCUUGCCGUUAGUUGCCAGCGGGUCAUGCCGGGGACUCUAACGGGACUGCCGGUGUUAAACCGGAGGAAGGUGGGGAUGACGUCAAGUCAUCAUGGCCUUUAUGCCCUGGGCUUCACACGUGCUACAAUGGUCAGAACAGAGCGGCGCGAGACCGUGAGGUGGAGCAAAUCGCAAAAAUCUGGCCCCAGUUCGGAUUGCAGGCUGGCAACUCGCCUGCAUGAAGGUGGAAUCGCUAGUAAUCGCGUAUCAGCGAUGACGCGGUGAAUGUGUUCCUGAGCCUUGUACACACCGCCCGUCAAGUGAUGGGAGUUGGGAGUACCCGAAGUCGGAUUGCUAACCCCUCGGGGAGGCGUCUGCCGACGGUAAGCCCGAUGACUGGCACUAAGUCGUAACAAGGUA
RNAcentral lists this ribosomal RNA (1209 nucleotides) under metagenome. RNAcentral's name for it is "bacterial SSU rRNA". It matches the Rfam family "Bacterial small subunit ribosomal RNA", at positions 295 to 1498 of the family's 1533-position model. The record is from RNAcentral.